Molecule: ribosomal RNA, 433 nt
Filed under: uncultured bacterium
Lineage: Bacteria
Description: partial 16S ribosomal RNA
Rfam family: Bacterial small subunit ribosomal RNA
Source: RNAcentral
AAUGAACGCUGGCGGCAUGCCUAACACAUGCACGUCGAACGAAGGCUUCGGCCUUAGUGGCGCACGGGUGCGUAACGCGUGGGAAUCUGCCCCUUGGUUCGGAAUAACAGUUAGAAAUGACUGCUAAUACCGGAUGAUGACGUAAGUCCAAAGAUUUAUCGCCGAGGGAUGAGCCCGCGUAGGAUUAGCUAGUUGGUGUGGUAAGAGCGCACCAAGGCGACGAUCCUUAGCUGGUCUGAGAGGAUGAUCAGCCACACUGGGACUGAGACACGGCCCAGACUCCUACGGGAGGCAGCAGUGGGGAAUAUUGGACAAUGGGCGAAAGCCUGAUCCAGCAAUGCCGCGUGAGUGAUGAAGGCCUUAGGGUUGUAAAGCUCUUUUACCCGGGAUGAUAAUGACAGUACCGGGAGAAUAAGCUCCGGCUAACUCCGUG